RNAcentral lists this ribosomal RNA (460 nucleotides) under uncultured bacterium. RNAcentral describes it as "partial 16S ribosomal RNA". It matches the Rfam family "Bacterial small subunit ribosomal RNA", at positions 338 to 795 of the family's 1533-position model. The record is from RNAcentral.
CCUACGGGUGGCAGCAGUGAGGAAUAUUGGUCAAUGGCCGUAAGGCUGAACCAGCCAAGUCGCGUGAAGGAAGAAGGAUCUAUGGUUUGUAAACUUCUUUUAUAGGGGAAUAAAGGUAUCCACGUGUGGAUAUUUGCAUGUACCCUAUGAAUAAGCAUCGGCUAACUCCGUGCCAGCAGCCGCGGUAAUACGGAGGAUGCGAGCGUUAUCCGGAUUUAUUGGGUUUAAAGGGUGCGUAGGUUGUUUUUUAAGUCAGCGGUGAAAGUUUGUGGCUCAACCAUAAAAUUGCCGUUGAAACUGGAAGACGUGAGUGUGUUUGAGGUAGGCGGAAUGCGUGGUGUAGCGGUGAAAUGCUUAGAUAUCACGAAGAACUCCGAUUGCGAAGGCAGCUUACUAAACUGCCACUGACAUUGAUGCUCGAAAGUGUGGGUAUCAAACAGGAUUAGAUACCCCAGUAGUC